This 409-nucleotide ribosomal RNA is filed under the name uncultured Pseudomonas sp. RNAcentral's name for it is "bacterial SSU rRNA". It matches the Rfam family "Bacterial small subunit ribosomal RNA", at positions 976 to 1382 of the family's 1533-position model. Lineage: Bacteria; Pseudomonadati; Pseudomonadota; Gammaproteobacteria; Pseudomonadales; Pseudomonadaceae. The record is from RNAcentral.
AGGCCUUGACAUGCAGAGAACUUUCCAGAGAUGGAUUGGUGCCUUCGGGAACUCUGACACAGGUGCUGCAUGGCUGUCGUCAGCUCGCGUCGUGAGAUGUUGGGUUAAGUCCCGUAACGAGCGCAACCCUUGUCCUUAGUUACCAGCACGUUAUGGUGGGCACUCUAAGGAGACUGCCGGUGACAAACCGGAGGAAGGUGGGGAGUGACGUCAAGUCAUCAUGGCCCUUACGGCCUGGGCUACACACGUGCUACAAUGGUCGGUACAAAGGGUUGCCAAGCCGCGAGGUGGAGCUAAUCCCAUAAAAACCGAUCGUAGUCCGGAUCGCAGUCUGCAACUCGACUGCGUGAAGUCGGAAUCGCUAGUAAUCGUGAAUCAGAAUGUCACGGUGAAUACGUUCCCGGGCCUU